UACUAGAGUAGCACUCGCAUAUCAAUAAGCGGAGGAAAAGAAACUAACAAGGAUUCCCUUAGUAACGGCGAGUGAAGCGGGAAGAGCUCAAAUUUGAAAUCUUCAAGGUUUUACCUUGACGAAUUGUAGUUUAAAGAAGUGUUUUCUGUUGGUGUUUUGGUAAAAGUUCUUUGGAAUAGGACAUCAUAGAGGGUGAGAAUCCCGUAUUUGACCAUUAUUUCCAGCUGUGUGAUACACUUUCAAAGAGUCGGAUUGUUUGGGAAUGCAGUCCAAAAUGGGUGGUAAAUUUCAUCUAAAGCUAAAUAUUGGCGAGAGACCGAUAGCGAACAAGUACCGUGAGGGAAAGAUGAAAAGAACUUUGAAAAGAGAGUUAAACAGUACGUGAAAUUGUCAAAAGGGAAGCGUUUGACACCAGUGUUGUUUUUCCGAAAAUCAAUUACGAAUGUUUUGUUUUUAAGAAGUUAUGACUUCAUCGGCUUGCUUCUUUCUUUACGAAACUUUCUUAAUGCACUUUUCGGUUAACAAGUCAACAUCAAUUUCUUUUGUUGUAAAAGGGUAUGAGGAAGGUGGCUUUCUUUUCGGAGAAAGUGUUUAUAGCCUUGUACCUCUGCAAUCGGAGAGAUUGAGGUCUGCAGCGUAGAUCCUUCGGGGUUAGAUACAUUUGUGCUAAGUUAUAGCUUUUCAUAGACAACUUGUUGACUAUGUUAAGUCUUGUAGCUUACUCGCUUAUGCUAUUUUACCUACGCUUAGGAUGUUGAAGAUAUGCGCGACACG
This 774-nucleotide ribosomal RNA is filed under the name uncultured Neocallimastigales. Its description in RNAcentral is "partial large subunit ribosomal RNA". It matches the Rfam family "Eukaryotic large subunit ribosomal RNA", at positions 20 to 644 of the family's 3401-position model. Lineage: Eukaryota; Fungi; Neocallimastigomycota; Neocallimastigomycetes; Neocallimastigales. The record is from RNAcentral.